Molecule: ribosomal RNA, 489 nt
Filed under: uncultured bacterium
Lineage: Bacteria
Description: bacterial SSU rRNA
Rfam family: Bacterial small subunit ribosomal RNA
Source: RNAcentral
GGCUCAGAUUGAACGCUGGCGGCAUGCCUUACACAUGCAAGUCGAACGGCAGCGGGCCUUCGGGUGCCGGCGAGUGGCGAACGGGUGAGUAAUGCAUCGGAACGUGCCAUUGAGUGGGGGAUAACGUAGCGAAAGUUGCGCUAAUACCGCAUAUUCUGUGAGCAGGAAAGCAGGGGACCGCAAGGCCUUGCGCUCUUUGAGCGGCCGAUGUCAGAUUAGCUAGUUGGUGAGGUAAAGGCUUACCAAGGCGACGAUCUGUAGCGGGUCUGAGAGGAUGAUCCGCCACACUGGAACUGAGACACGGUCCAGACUCCUACGGGAGGCAGCAGUGGGGAAUUUUGGACAAUGGGGGCAACCCUGAUCCAGCCAUGCCGCGUGAGUGAAGAAGGCCUUCGGGUUGUAAAGCUCUUUCGGCCGGGAAGAAAUCGCAUGGGUGAAUACCCUGUGUGGAUGACGGUACCUGCAGAAGAAGCACCGGCUAACUACGUG